Molecule: ribosomal RNA, 253 nt
Filed under: uncultured bacterium
Lineage: Bacteria
Description: partial 16S ribosomal RNA
Rfam family: Bacterial small subunit ribosomal RNA
Source: RNAcentral
UACGGAGGGUGCAAGCGUUAUCCGGAUUCACUGGGUUUAAAGGGAGCGCAGGCGGGCUGGUAAGUCAGUGGUGAAAGCCUUGAGCUUAACUCGAGAACUGCCAUUGAUACUAUCAGUCUUGAAUAUUGUUGAGGUUUGCGGAAUGGGUCAUGUAGCGGUGAAAUGCAUAGAUAUGACCCGGAACACCUAUUGCGAAGGCAGCAGGCUAAACAAAGAUUGACGCUGAGGCUCGAAAGCGUGGGGAGCAAACAGG